This 253-nucleotide ribosomal RNA is filed under the name uncultured bacterium. RNAcentral's name for it is "partial 16S ribosomal RNA". It matches the Rfam family "Bacterial small subunit ribosomal RNA", at positions 524 to 776 of the family's 1533-position model. The record is from RNAcentral.
UACGUAGGGGGCAAGCGUUGUCCGGAAUCAUUGGGCGUAAAGCGCGCGUAGGCGGCCCUGUAAGUCCGUUGUGAAAGUCGAAGGCUCAACCUUCGAAAGCCGAUGGAUACUGCAGGGCUAGAGUCCGGAAGAGGCGAGUGGAAUUCCUGGUGUAGCGGUGGAAUGCGUAGAUAUCAGGAGGAACACCAAUAGCGAAGGCAGCUCGCUGGGACGGUACUGACGCUAAGGCGCGAAAGCGUGGGGAGCGAACAGG